This 661-nucleotide ribosomal RNA is filed under the name uncultured bacterium. Its description in RNAcentral is "bacterial SSU rRNA". It matches the Rfam family "Bacterial small subunit ribosomal RNA", at positions 94 to 788 of the family's 1533-position model. The record is from RNAcentral.
AGUGGCGGACGGGUGAGUAACGCGUGAGAAUCUGCCUUCAGGUCGGGGACAACAGAGGGAAACUUCUGCUAAUCCCGGAUGAGCCUUAGGGUAAAAAAUUUAUUGCCUGGAGAUGAGCUCGCGUCUGAUUAGCUAGUUGGUAAGGUAAAAGCUUACCAAGGCAACGAUCAGUAGCUGGUCUGAGAGGAUGAGCAGCCACACUGGGACUGAGACACGGCCCAGACUCCUACGGGAGGCAGCAGUGGGGAAUUUUCCGCAAUGGGCGAAAGCCUGACGGAGCAAGACCGCGUGGGGGAGGAAGGCUCUAGGGUUGUAAACCCCUUUUCUUUGGGAAGAACAAAAUGACGGUACCAAAGGAAUCAGCCUCGGCUGACUCCGUGCCAGCAGCCGCGGUAAUACGGAGGAGGCAAGCGUUAUCCGGAAUGAUUGGGCGUAAAGCGUCCGCAGGUGGCAAUGUAAGUCUGCUGUCAAAACCCAGGGCUCAACUCUGGUCAGGCAGUGGAAACUACAUAGCUAGAGUUCGGUAGGGGCAAAGGGAAUUCCCGGUGUAGCGGUGAAAUGCGUAGAGAUCGGGAAGAACAUCGGUGGCGAAAGCGCUUUGCUAGACCGAAACUGACACUCAGGGACGAAAGCUAGGGGAGCGAAUGGGAUUAGAUACCCC